This 443-nucleotide ribosomal RNA is filed under the name uncultured bacterium. RNAcentral describes it as "partial 16S ribosomal RNA". It matches the Rfam family "Bacterial small subunit ribosomal RNA", at positions 338 to 795 of the family's 1533-position model. The record is from RNAcentral.
CCUACGGGAGGCAGCAGUGGGGAAUAUUGGGCAAUGGGCGCAAGCCUGACCCAGCAACGCCGCGUGAAGGAAGAAGGCUUUCGGGUUGUAAACUUCUUUUCUCAGGGACGAAGCAAGUGACGGUACCUGAGGAAUAAGCCACGGCUAACUACGUGCCAGCAGCCGCGGUAAUACGUAGGUGGCAAGCGUUAUCCGGAUUUACUGGGUGUAAAGGGCGUGUAGGCGGGAAAGCAAGUCAGAUGUGAAAACCAUGGGCUCAACCUGUGGCCUGCAUUUGAAACUGUUUUGCUUGAGUACUGGAGAGGCAGACGGAAUUCCUAGUGUAGCGGUGAAAUGCGUAGAGAUUAGGAGGAACACCAGUGGCGAAGGUGGUCUGCUGGACAGCAACUGACGCUGAGGCGCGAAAGCGUGGGGAGCAAACAGGAUUAGAUACCCUUGUAGUC